RNAcentral lists this ribosomal RNA (406 nucleotides) under uncultured bacterium. RNAcentral's name for it is "partial 16S ribosomal RNA". It matches the Rfam family "Bacterial small subunit ribosomal RNA", at positions 30 to 526 of the family's 1533-position model. The record is from RNAcentral.
AUUGAACGCUGGCGGCAGGCCUAACACAUGCAAGUCGAACGAGUGGCGGACGGGUGAGUAAUGUCUGGGAAACUGCCUGAUGGAGGGGGAUAACUACUGGAAACGGUAGCUAAUACCGCAUACCAUCAGAUGUGCCCAGAUGGGAUUAGCUAGUUGGUGGGGUAACGGCUCACCAGGGCGACGAUCCCUAGCUGGUUUGAGAGGAUGACCAGCCGCCCUGGAACUGAGACACGGUCCAGACUCCUACGUGAGGCAGCAGUGGGGAAUAUUGCACAAUGGGCGCAAGCCUUAUGCAGCCAUGCCGCGUGUGUGAAGAAGGUCUUCGGAUUGUAAAGCACUUUAAGUUGGGAGGCGUUACCAACAGAAUAAGCACCGGCUAACUUCGUGCCAGCAGCCGCGGUAAUAC